Molecule: ribosomal RNA, 253 nt
Filed under: uncultured bacterium
Lineage: Bacteria
Description: partial 16S ribosomal RNA
Rfam family: Bacterial small subunit ribosomal RNA
Source: RNAcentral
AACGUAGGAGGCAAGCGUUAUCCGGAGUUACUGGGCGUAAAGCGCGUGUAGGCGGCUCGGUAAGUGGGUCGUGAAAGCACCCGGCUAAACUGGGUGAGGACGAUCGAGACUGCCAGACUAGAGUGUGGCAGAGGGGGGUGGAAUUCCGCGUGUAGCAGUGAAAUGCGUAGAGAUGCGGAGGAACACCGAUGGCGAAGGCAGCCCCCUGGGCUAACACUGACGCUCAGGCACGAAAGCGUGGGGAGCAAACAGG